GAUGAACGCUGGCGGCGUGCCUAAUACAUGCAAGUCGAGCGAACGGACGAGAAGCUUGCUUCUCUGAUGUUAGCGGCGGACGGGUGAGUAACACGUGGAUAACCUACCUAUAAGACUGGGUUAACUUCGGGAAACCGGAGCUGAUACCGGAUAAUAUUUUGAACCGCAUGGUUCAAAAGUGAAAGACGGUCUUGCUGUCACUUAUAGAUGGAUCCGCGCUGCAUUAGCUAGUUGGUAAGGUAACGGCUUACCAAGGCAACGAUGCAUAGCCGACCUGAGAGGGUGAUCGGCCACACUGGAACUGAGACACGGUCCAGACUCCUACGGGAGGCAGCAGUAGGGAAUCUUCCGCAAUGGGCGAAAGCCUGACGGAGCAACGCCGCGUGAGUGAUGAAGGUCUUCGGAUCGUAAAACUCUGUUAUUAGGGAAGAACAUAUGUGUAAGUAACUGUGCACAUCUUGACGGUACCUAAUCAGAAAGCCACGGCUAACUACGUG
Molecule: ribosomal RNA, 497 nt
Filed under: uncultured bacterium
Lineage: Bacteria
Description: partial 16S ribosomal RNA
Rfam family: Bacterial small subunit ribosomal RNA
Source: RNAcentral